CCUUUUCCCAUAUAAUCAAAAGGAAUUAGAUUGAAGAAAUUGCAGGAGAGCAGGAAGGGUAUUCCUGGUGUGACAUUCAAAAGCAGUCAAAACGGUGAGGUUUAGAACGGAGGAGCUCCGUGGAAUUGUGGAUAAAAAAUUAUCCAUAACAUGUCUGUCAUUGCUCAUGUCGACCACGGGUAUCAAGGUAUUUGCCUUGGCAUUACUAACGUCGUGUUCAGAUUACUAAAAGAAGGAUUGAUAACGGCAUACCUUAACUCGACUGAUGCUUUAACUGCUGCCUCUCUAAGCCUUGAUUAGCCAUGGAGAUACUCAAGUUCCAAAGCCCCAAGUGAGGCUAUCCUUCUAAGAUCCGUUCAUCCCAGUUCAUUAAUUUGUUUGAAAUAUAUAUGUAUAUUCCAAUAUUGCUCAAUCUCCAGCUGGCCUCUAGGUUAUCAGAUGAAAUCCGGUUAAAUUUUAGGGAGGUUGAGUAGGAGUGUUUGGAACUAAAGGCUUUGUUGUUGUUGUUUGAGUAGGAGUAUCCCCCUUUUCUGUAUAAAUUUUGUUGCUAUGAAUAGUUGCAUUGUUACGUCAGUGAAAAGUU
Molecule: long non-coding RNA, 583 nt
Organism: Triticum dicoccoides
Lineage: Eukaryota; Viridiplantae; Streptophyta; Magnoliopsida; Poales; Poaceae
Exons: 3
Source: RefSeq, a predicted model, not a curated record